AGGAAUAUUGGUCAAUGGGGGAAACCCUGAUGCAGCGACGCCGCGUGAGUGAAGAAGUAUUUCGGUAUGUAAAGCUCUAUCAGCAGGAACGAGACAAGACGGUACCUGACUAAGAAGCCCCGGCUAACUACGUGCCAGCAGCCGCGGUAAUACGUAGGGGGCAAGCGUUAUCCGGAAUCACUGGGUGUAAAGGGAGCGUAGACGGCUGAGCAAGCCUGAAGUGAAAGGCGGGGGCCCAACCCCUGGACUGCUUUGGGAACUGUACGGCUGGAGUGCAGGAGAGGUAAGUGGAAUUCCUAGUGUAGCGGUGAAAUGCGUAGAUAUUAGGAGGAACACCAGUGGCGAAAGCGGCUCUCUGGUCUGUAACUGACGCUGAGGUUCGAAAGCGUGGGUAGCAAACAG
RNAcentral lists this ribosomal RNA (402 nucleotides) under uncultured bacterium. RNAcentral's name for it is "bacterial SSU rRNA". It matches the Rfam family "Bacterial small subunit ribosomal RNA", at positions 357 to 775 of the family's 1533-position model. The record is from RNAcentral.